UACGGGAGGCAGCAGUGAGGAAUAUUGGUCAAUGGACGCAAGUCUGAACCAGCCAUGCCGCGUGCAGGAAGACGGCUCUAUGAGUUGUAAACUGCUUUUGUACGAGGGUAAACUCACCUACGUGUAGGUGACUGAAAGUAUCGUACGAAUAAGGAUCGGCUAACUCCGUGCCAGCAGCCGCGGUAAUACGGAGGAUUCAAGCGUUAUCCGGAUUUAUUGGGUUUAAAGGGUGCGUAGGCGGUUUGAUAAGUUAGAGGUGAAAUCCCGGGGCUNAACUCCGGAACUGCCUCUAAUACUGUUAGACUAGAGAGUAGUUGCGGUAGGCGGAAUGUAUGGUGUAGCGGUGAAAUGCUUAGAGAUCAUACAGAACACCGAUUGCGAAGGCAGCUUACCAAACUAUAUCUGACGUUGAGGCACGAAAGCGUGGGGAGCAAACAGGAUUAGAUACCCUGGUAGUCCACGCAGUAAACGAUGAUAACUCGUUGUCGGCGAUACACAGUCGGUGACUAAGCGAAAGCGAUAAGUUAUCCACCUGGGGAGUACGUUCGCAAGAAUGAAACUCAAAGGAAUUGACGG
This 576-nucleotide ribosomal RNA is filed under the name uncultured bacterium. RNAcentral's name for it is "bacterial SSU rRNA". It matches the Rfam family "Bacterial small subunit ribosomal RNA", at positions 340 to 916 of the family's 1533-position model. The record is from RNAcentral.